CCUGGAGCCGGCGAGCCGGAGCCUCAGCCCGCACCCGGCGAGAUGGCGGUAGGCCCUGGGCUUCCCUGCACUGCAGGCAGUGACGAGGCUGGGCAGCAAACAAGAAAAUGGACUCCCUCCUCCUGAAGACAAGAAUGCCAGCCACCAGCCAUGGGUGCCAGUUUGCAGCCUGUUGAAGGAAAACAACAUCAAGCUUGUGCUUCAUCCAGCCCGGCUUAGGGUGUGCCAGAAUUCAGCCAUUGCUUGGGCAGCUGCCACUAACCACUUGGAAUAGAAGGAAAAUUCUGAACCCAGGCACAUGCAUCAAGCCUGACGUCAUCCUCAGCAAGAUGUCGCAAGUUCCUAAUCUGGACGCAGAGGCCAGAGAGUUUGUGCAUCAUCUAGAGCCCAGAGUGGGCUGUUAGCCACAAACGUAGACACCUUGAAUGGAGCCUACCCACCCUGCCUUGCCUGAGGAGGGGCCAGGGCCCACUUGAUUCCCAUGAUGCACCACUGCAAACUGACGCAACCAGCUUUCAGCAGACCGUGCCAGGGAAGAAACAUUACAACAGCAUACUGCAAUACUUCCUCUGCCCAGGCAGGAGACUUCAUCGCAUCAACAAAGUUGGACUUCUCGCCCCAGAAUCUCACUCCACCAAGCUGGAAGUGCCUUUUAUCAAGACCCUUUACAGCCUCUUAGUAGAUCUGCUUCUCCCAAGAAAUUAAACCAAUGGCUUUCAAUCCUGGCUUCACAUUACAGUUAUCUAGAAUAUUGAAAGUAGUGAUGCCUGGACCUCAUCUUCACCCCAAAGAUACUGACUGAAUUGAUGUGGGCUUUUAUAAAAAAAAAAAAUUAAGUCUUUAUUGACAGAUAAUAUACAUGCAAAAAAAUAAGAGAGAGGAAAAAAAAAAACAUCAGUGUAAAGCUUGGUGAAUUUUGACAAAGUGAAUUUAUCCUAAGCUGCUUCCAGAUCAAGAAACAUCACUUGCAUCCUCUGGUGCCCCAAAGCAUAACUGCCGUUCUCAUUUCUAAUGGUAGAAAUUUAGUUUUACCUGUUUUAUGCUUUAUAUUAUGUAAGUAUAAUCAAAUAGAAUAUAUUCUUUUAUAUCUGGCUUCUUCUGCUCAACAUUGUAUUUGUGAGGUUCAUCAAAGCUAUCUUACAAUUGGCUUGUAGUUGUUGUAGCUAGUUCAUUCUCAUUGCUAUUGGGUGUUCAACCAUGUGGAUAUUCCUCUGCUUCUCUGUAUUUGACUACCUGGGUUGUAGUUGGCCAUUGGGGUUAUUAUGACUACUGCUGCCAUGAGCCUUCAUUGGUGUCUUAGAGCACAUUUGCUUGCGUUUCUGUUGGGUCCAUACUUGGACAUGGAGUUGCUGGGCAAGUAUAAAAAUCAGUCUGUACACCUUUAGAACCUUAUGCCAAAUAAUUUCCAAAGUGACUGCACCAAUUUAUACUUUCUCAGUGAUGUAUAAGAGUUCUGGUUGCUCUCUGUCUUUGCCAGUGAUUGGUGUUUUCUAACUUUUUCAUUUUAGCCAUGCUGGUGGGUGUGUGAUGAUAUCACAGUGUGGUUUUAAUUUGCAUUUCCCUAAUGACUAAUGCAGUUGAACACCUUUUCACAUGUUAGCCAUUAGAUCCUCCCUUUGCAAAGUGCCUGUUGAAGUGUUUGGACAUGAGUACUUUUAAGAUGUUCCUUAGGUGGCUCUAGUGUGCAGCCAAGGUUAAAAACCAUUGAGCUAAACCACAACUUCAUAUCUGCUGUUCUGCCUCUCAGUGUUCUGCCUUUGAGCUUAGAGCAUUUUGGAUCUGAGGGACCUAAUGGACAUGGGGAAAGAUGCCUGUUACCUGCCAUGCCACAAUGAACCUCCCAGGAAGAAGCAAGAGAUUGGAGCUAGAGUUCAGGCAGUUGAAAGUCUUUGGGAAUGUGGUCUCCACUUCAGACGGGUUCAGGGAAGGCCUGUGGUGUCCACAGCUGCCACAGGCAUUUCCUGACCACAAAAAUCACCCUUUUCCGGUCCCCUUGGAGCUCUAGGCAGUCAUGUGGAGGAAGUGGAGGGGCCCCAUGCCAGGUACUUCCCAGUUUCCAGGCCAGCAUGAGUGGGACGCAGCUUGUGUGGCAUUGUGGUCAGGCUGAGGGCAAAGGAGCAUGCGCUCCAUGUAAAGAUGAGGGAGGCCUGCUGUCUGUGGCCUCUGUUCUGGGUCAGAAGGCAGCCUGUGGGGCUCUUCCACAUGAGGCCAGGCCUGGCUAGCUCUUAAGUUCUACAGGUUUGCACAUAGGUCCCAGUUGUUUCCCUCACCUGUACUGGUCUUCUCUGUCCUCUGUGCCCCACCUUGGGGGCCCUGAUCCAGGACCUUCCUUGGCCUCCUUCCCUGUACUUAACCCCUUACUCCUCUGAACUUCUGCAGCACUUAGAGUGAGAACUCACAAUGUGGCUCCCAAUUACACCUCGCCUUCUAUUAAGUCCUCAUUGCAUCGUCUGUGCUCAUCUCCUCCCCUGCUGCAGCCUCAUCCAGGACUGCUGGACACUUCUCUGUGCUCCCCCACAGUGGGUUAAGUGGCAGUUGGUAACUCAGUGAUAAUGUCCUCCAAACUGGAAAGGAAGAUGCAAAAAAAUACAGAUCACACACAGAGUCCUUCCCUCAGCCCGGAGCUCCGCAGGUGUCAGCAGUGCUAUCCCAUGAGGGCUCCGUGUUGGCACAUGUGCUGCUCAUCUGGUAGAGGGCUCAGAUGCUGGUGCCUGACGGGGUGUGCAUGCCCUGAUGGAGUUUACCACGGUGCCCAGAGCUGGCACCAUGUGUCCUUGAAAAGAGCAGAGUCCACCUUCUGCUGACUGAAGUCCUGCCAGCUCUCUGAUGUGAGAUGAGGUCCAUGGAGGCAUGUGGGCAAAGUUGACAGUUUGGAGCCUGGUGAGCACAGAGCCAACUCUGGGCUCUUGGUUGUUCCAUGUCCCCUGGAUUCAGGCCCAUCUUGGAAAUUGCUCUGGACAUAAAGUAUUUUAUGUCCGAUAGUCCAAGUGCAGAUGCUAUGGUUCCCUUGAUUGGCCCAAAUGGUAGCCUGAACCAGCCAGCAACCAGAGUGCUGUCUGAAGCCUGGAAGAGUACUCUCCCGGCAGUGUAUGAGAGCUCCAGUUCCUUCACGUCCUUGUCAGCGACUUGCAUUUCCUAUUUUCUUCAUAUUGACCAUCCACAUAUCAUAAAGUGAGAGACCCCUCUCCUCCCAUUGACCCUGCACCCCCAUCUCUCCCCUUUCACCCAGCCCCCUAUCCAGCAGUCAAGCCCUUCAGCUCUCUCAAACCUGGGUCUUCAAACUUUCCUUCUCCCCUGGCUCCUGGAGUGCAGUACUUGGCAUGCCCCCAUCUCCAUCAUCCUGGUGAUGUUUCCCUCCAUCCCCUUCCCCAUGGAGUACAGCCGUGCUGUCUGCCUCUCAUGGCCAAGAUUCUGGAAUGAGACAUCUCCUCUCCCCUCUUUCUUCUCCUCCCCUGCUCAUUUAUUCAGCAAGUAUCCGUUUUAUCCCUGUCUGCGCUGGGCAAAGCAGGUUCAACAGUGAACGAGACUACCCGGCCCUGCUCUCAUGAAGAUUAUAGUCAAGUAGGGAAGAGAGGCAUUAAUCAUUACCAAGUGCUAAUGGAGGGGCUGCCACAGCCCAACAGCACAGACCAGUUCCUUUCUGCCCUCACACACCUGCAAACGUCUGCUCUUCUUCUGGGGCACAGCUCACAAGCCACCUCAUUUGUGCUGCCUUCUCUACGCUGUACCUGAAGACAUUGUGGCCCACUGGGCCCACAGAAGCCUUGGGUGCAACUGCUUCCCACAGAGGUUGAAAUCUGAGGGCAGAGACCAGACUACACUCACUUUAGUGCCUCCUCCUAUCUGGCACAGAGCCCAGCACAUCAGCAGUGCUCUAGAUGAAUGCAUGUCUCUGCCAAGGCUGAGCUAAAGUGUGUGAACAUCUUCAGGACCUGAGGAUCCACAUAUUUCUUCUUCCUCUUUUUUAAUAGCCUUUUGGUUCUUCGAAUCAUUGUAAUGUUUGGUCACAACAGUGAAUUUACUUAGCAAUAUUGAACUGUACAUUUAUAAAUGGUUACGAAUGUAUAUUUUGUUUUAUGUGUAUUUUACCACAAUCUAAAAAAACCAAAGUGCAAAGAUUAAGUAUUACCAAAAAAGGAAGAUAAGGUCCAUAUUAUUAAGAAAUAAGGGACAGAUGAUUUGAUUCAGGCAAAAUUGGAUUAAAAAUAAAUAUUUUGGGACUUCCCUGGUGGUUUAGUAGCUAAGACUCUGUGCUCCCAAUGCAGGGGGUCCAGGUUUGAUCCCUGGUCAAGGAACUAGAUCCCUCAUGCCACAACUAAAAAUCUUGAUCUCCAUGCUGAAACUUAGCACAGCCAAAUAAAUAAAUAUUUUAAAAAAUAACAUUUAGUUUGGAUUAGGGAAAUGCAAAUCAAAACCACA
Non-coding RNA from Odocoileus virginianus texanus, 4419 nucleotides. NCBI's taxonomy places the organism in Eukaryota, Metazoa, Chordata, Mammalia, Artiodactyla, Cervidae. The record is from RefSeq and is a predicted model, not a curated record.